Molecule: long non-coding RNA, 1711 nt
Organism: Ipomoea triloba (trilobed morning glory)
Lineage: Eukaryota; Viridiplantae; Streptophyta; Magnoliopsida; Solanales; Convolvulaceae
Exons: 4
Source: RefSeq, a predicted model, not a curated record
CCAGACAGAGAUUGAUAAAGGCUCUUGAUACCAAAUGUAAGAUCAUAAAUCUUAUCUAAACAUAUACAGAAUGAGUUUACGAGUAACCUAACCUCGUAAUAGCGGAAGCAUAAAUCGUUGAUCUCCAGCCAUAGUUGAUGGCUUGUUGUGUUGCCUGUGUUAGUCGUUUUGUCUCACACUUGACUCAGAACCUAGAUGGUGUCCUGGUAUUUUCUGAGCAGUGUGAGUACCAUGUCUGUAGGUGUCUAUAUAAUUGUCUAUCCUGCACCCCAUCAAUGCAGGCUUAUAUAGGCAUAUGGUGGAUUGGACUAAACCUAGAUGUCCAAUCCAACCUAUAGCUUAAUGGGCCUAGUCCACUUGCACCACAUUAUUAAGGCCCACAAUAUAUAUAAUAUAUUGUAUUGGGAAAAGUCUUACAUAAUUUGCAUUCCUUUAUAUUAAAAACCCAAAAAUAUUAGUUUACUUUCCAUUCUCAAUCAUAAUUUUCUUGGAUCCUUGUGAAUCCAGAACUUUAGUGUCUAGAAUCUAACAAUUAAUACAAGUACGUGCCAUAGCCCCAAUCCUCAGCGGAACGACAUUUUCACCCCCUUUUUAUCACCACUUUUACUCAUCAGUUAAUAACAAUGUUGUGGGAAAAAAAAUAAGGAUGAUUUCAUGCUUGUUCUCUGGUACUGAUUCUUCACCCUAAAAUUUUUUUAAAAAAAUGCUUUUGAUUAUUUGUUUCUCUCCUUAGCUUGUAUGAUUUCUAUUACUAACUUCCAUGUAAGGAAGAAGUAGUCUAUCUAUUACUUUUUUUUUUUUUUGGAAAUUAAAUUGGCAUUAGAAUAAAGGUUGUCUAGAAAGUUAUUUAUUGCCAAUAAGAUAUUGCGAAGAAUAUUACAGCUAUGGAUGAAUUUGAUAGUGGCGCUAAGAGCCCCGAAAAAGGUCAUGCUGCCAACGAUGAUUGGAGUGCAGCCCCGCUUCCUGAAAAAGUUCAAGUAGGUGUUCACCAGUAUACAAGAUAGAAAGAAAGCUUGGCAAAGGAGACUUUGGACAAGUCUAUGUUGGUCGCGGAAUUUCUAGUGGUAAUGCAAUUAAAAGAACCAUCCCGAGAGCAAUUGAAGUAUAUGUCAUGACACCCUUACUAAUAAAUUGGAUAUCUCUCGUGUAUGUUCAAUGCAAACAUAUGUUUUAGUGUUCUGCUGCUCAGGUGGCUUUGAAAUUUGAGCAUCGAAAUAGUAAAUAAUGCAACUAUGGACCACCUUAUUAUGAAUGACAGGUUUACAAGUCUUAACAUUGUUUGUAGGAGCUCUCCCAGAGAAGCAAGUUGUAAUAGUUUGUUCCAAUUUGAGGCUAAAGGUUGUGAAAUAGUAUGUUAUAUGAGCGAUUCAGAUGAAAGUAAAAUGAAGAAAUUAGCUAUUCAGAGGUGCCAUGCUCUCCGAGCUCCUCAGUUGUUGAGUCUUCGAAGAUUCAAAAUACUACAAGGAAAAGUCAUGACUAUUAAUUCUCAUCAAGGGUGAAAAAUGAUAUUCAUUAUUUAGUGAUGAUGUAAAUGGACAAUUUCCUUUUGCAUGAAACCCUCAUAUUGAAUAAACUACUAUGUUGCUUUAUAUUUUUCAUGCAAAAAUACUUUUCAGUUAUGUAUGAAGCUCAAUUAAUAUGUAGACGGUUGUACAUGAAUAUUCUUUGAUAUUAUUUGACAAAUAAUUGUUGCAAUUGAUUUUCUUUUCAA